Molecule: small RNA, 127 nt
Filed under: Marmota monax (woodchuck)
Lineage: Eukaryota; Metazoa; Chordata; Mammalia; Rodentia; Sciuridae
Source: RNAcentral
GCUGGGUACAGUGGCGUAUGCCUGUAAUCCCAGAAGCUCAGGAAGCUGAGGCAGGAGGAUCACAAGUUCAAAGCCAGCCUCAGUAACUUAGCAAGGCUCUGAGCAACUCAGCAAGACCCUGUCUUUU